Molecule: long non-coding RNA, 1030 nt
Organism: Vigna umbellata (rice bean)
Lineage: Eukaryota; Viridiplantae; Streptophyta; Magnoliopsida; Fabales; Fabaceae
Source: RefSeq, a predicted model, not a curated record
CUAAAAGCCUAGUAAGUUACUAGUCGUUAUGAUUUGCGUCCUGUUUGUGCAAUCUUCGCACUAUCUAUUCUAUCUAUUUACUUGUUAAUUCUUAGUUUUAUGAGUUAUGCAAUGAACCUGGGAGUAUUUUUGAAAGUCUUCUUCCGGAAUGUCUGAUAAUCUAUGCAAAAACAUCUCCAAAAGCAGAAGACAGCUGGGUAUUGUCUUGGGGUACAUUGUAGUCCUUCUCUCCCUGAAGAUGAAACCUAUAUGGGUGACCAGUACAGUGUUGCUUGGAUGGAAGACAGAGGUCAAAGAAAGGACUAUGAAUGGAAAUUCAGACUAUGGUUCCCACGCGUGCAGUAUGGUUCCCACUCUUCUUAUAUUUGAGUACAAAUCCUGCCAAUGAUACUUUCCUGGAGUAAAACUCACAGGGACCACCUUCAAAAACAGUCGACCAACGUGAUGAAGAUCUCAUCCAUUCCUGAGAUAAGUUCCACAAAGCUGUUGUGGGUUCUUGUAGGAAAAUUGCUGCUCAGAAACAAAUCCUGGAAGUAAGGUCUCGCAGAAACAUAAACUUUUCCAGAAGCUCUCGUUUAGCAUUGAAAGGGAUCCAGAACUGCUUAGAACUACGAUACCUGUUGGGCAACCACUUAUUGAUGACCGGGACUGCCUUAAAAACAUUUGUACCGUUUCCCUUGAUUCAAUUUGUUUAGUUUGACUGUAUUAGACCCUUUCUAAUAUGCACCUUCUUAUUAGCCAUUGAUUUGGCCAAAAAGAGCAUCAACUAUAGAUGGUCCACCUACAAUAAUAAGUAAAAAAUCUAGGUGCACGGAUGAAUUUAAGAGUGUGCAUGCUAGAAUCCGUCUAUGAUUGAAUCAUUGCUUUUCUGUAUGUUAUUAAUUAUCCAGUUCACAUAGUUACGGUAUGAGAUGGCAGCAGGGCCUCCACCAUUGUAUCCCCUUCCAAUAAAUCAACAUUUUGUUUAUUGAUUGAACAAACAUUACCAUAUAAGGUUGUGCCACCAUGAAUGCUGAAGAUGAGAAAGAUC